AUCAAUAAGCGGAGGAAAAGAAACCAACAGGGAUUGCCUUAGUAGCGGCGAGUGAAGCGGCAAAAGCUCAAAUUUGAAAUCUGGCUCUUUCAGAGUCCGAGUUGUAAUUUGAAGAAGGUAUCUUUGGGUCUGGCUCUUGUCUAUGUUUCUUGGAACAGAACGUCACAGAGGGUGAGAAUCCCGUGCGAUGAGAUGAUCCAGGCCUAUGUAAAGUUCCUUCGAAGAGUCGAGUUGUUUGGGAAUGCAGCUCUAAGUGGGUGGUAAAUUCCAUCUAAAGCUAAAUAUUGGCGAGAGACCGAUAGCGAACAAGUACAGUGAUGGAAAGAUGAAAAGAACUUUGAAAAGAGAGUGAAAAAGUACGUGAAAUUGUUGAAAGGGAAGGGCUUGAGAUCAGACUUGGUAUUUUGUAUGUUACUUCUUCGGGGGUGGCCUCUACAGUUUAUCGGGCCAGCAUCAGUUUGGGCGGUAGGAGAAUUGCGUUGGAAUGUGGCACGACUUCGGUUGUGUGUUAUAGCCUUCGUCGAUACUGCCAGCCUAGACUGAGGACUGCGGUUUAUACCUAGGAUGUUGGCAUAAUGAUCUUAAGUCGCCCGUCUUGAACCGGGCCA
This 608-nucleotide ribosomal RNA is filed under the name Candida tropicalis. RNAcentral's name for it is "LSU rRNA". It matches the Rfam family "Eukaryotic large subunit ribosomal RNA", at positions 42 to 668 of the family's 3401-position model. Lineage: Eukaryota; Fungi; Ascomycota; Pichiomycetes; Serinales; Debaryomycetaceae. The record is from RNAcentral.